GUGAAUUUAGGCAAUAUACUAAAUAAGAGCUUCAUUUUCCUUAUGUGCAAAAUGGGUGGUGAGGAAUACAUAAGAAAAUUCCUGGAGCUUGGCACGUAAUAACCAAUAAUUUUAGUUAUUUUGAUGGUGAUCAGGGCUUUUCUGAUGAAGCAUAGACUCACUGAUGACUGUAGCAUUGUUUUCAGAAUUUCAUAAACAGCACACCAUUCAUUUGCACUCAAAUUGUCCAGGCAAAAUAUGGCCAUGAAAUGCUUGAAGGUUAUUUAACCAGAC
This 273-nucleotide long non-coding RNA is filed under the name Fukomys damarensis (Damara mole-rat). RNAcentral's name for it is "lncRNA (ENSFDAG00000025892.1)". Lineage: Eukaryota; Metazoa; Chordata; Mammalia; Rodentia; Bathyergidae. The record is from RNAcentral.